This 203-nucleotide ribosomal RNA is filed under the name uncultured bacterium. RNAcentral's name for it is "partial 16S ribosomal RNA". It matches the Rfam family "Bacterial small subunit ribosomal RNA", at positions 1284 to 1500 of the family's 1533-position model. The record is from RNAcentral.
GUCCCUAGUUCGGAUUGUAGGCNGAAACUCGCCUACAUGAAGCUGGAAUCGCUAGUAAUCACAGGUCAGCAUACUGUGGUGAAUACGUUCCCGGGCCUUGUACACACCGCCCGUCACACCAUGAGAGUUGAGAAUACCCGAAGCCCAUGUCAAAGUGGUCGAAGGUAGGCUUGAUGAUUGGGGUGAAGUCGUAACAAGGUACC